GCCGGGCAUGGUGGCAUGUGCCUGUAGUCCCAGCUACUCGGGAGGCUGAGGUGGGAGGAUCACUUGAGCCCAGGAGUUCUGGGCUGUAGUGCGCUAUGCUGAUCAGGUGUCCGCACUAAGUUCGGCAUCAAUAUGGUGACCUCCCGGGAGUGGGAGACCACCAGGUUGCCUAAGGAGGGGUGAACCGGCCCAGGUUGGAAACGCAGCAGGUCAAAACUCCUGUGCUGAUCAGUAGUAGGGUUGCACCUGUGAAUAGCCACCACUGCACUCCAGCCUGGGCAACAUAGCAGGACCCCAUCUCAU
Molecule: signal recognition particle RNA, 303 nt
Filed under: Cebus imitator (Panamanian white-faced capuchin)
Lineage: Eukaryota; Metazoa; Chordata; Mammalia; Primates; Cebidae
Description: Metazoan signal recognition particle RNA (ENSCCAG00000000658.1)
Rfam family: Metazoan signal recognition particle RNA
About the family: The signal recognition particle (SRP) is a universally conserved ribonucleoprotein. It is involved in the co-translational targeting of proteins to membranes. The eukaryotic SRP consists of a 300-nucleotide 7S RNA and six proteins: SRPs 72, 68, 54, 19, 14, and 9.
Source: Rfam by way of RNAcentral